This 312-nucleotide long non-coding RNA is filed under the name Micromonas commoda. RNAcentral describes it as "long non-coding RNA (MCOM_LNC000403)". Lineage: Eukaryota; Viridiplantae; Chlorophyta; Mamiellophyceae; Mamiellales; Mamiellaceae. The record is from RNAcentral.
CCGCAGUCUGACCGGUCAUGGCGCGCGUCUUCAGCACAUCCGCGGGCGUUGUGGCGGCUGCGGCGAUGGCGCCAGACAUGCCGCCGAGCGCAAUUGUCUCCCACGCGGUGAGUUCCUUUCGCUUUGCUGCCGCAGCAGCCUGCUUGAGCUUCUCAUACGUCACCAGGCCGAUGACGUAGAAGGGAAUCUCGCGGGAGAGCGUCGCAGCUGUGCCCGCAAACAGACCCUUCGUUCCAUUUUUUGUAAUAGCCUUGAAAGCUUCGACAGCGUUGUCGUGCUGCCCCGUCUGCAGCCUUUGCUUUAGCACCUCGC